UUUGAAACUUUUUUUUUUAAUCUUUAUAUUGCAUUUAUAGGUUCAGGAGAUCUGGAUGGACUUCCAAAGAAUUCUCCUAACAACAUGAGUGGCAUGAGCAAUCCACCCGGGACCCCGAGGGAUGAAGAUGUAGGAGGCAGCUACCUUCACUCCUUCCAGAAUGAGAAUCAGUACUCUCCUUCCAUGACCAUGAGCGUCUGAUGCCAG
Cyprinus carpio (common carp) is the source of this 207-nucleotide long non-coding RNA. RefSeq lists it as uncharacterized. The record is from RefSeq and is a predicted model, not a curated record. NCBI's taxonomy places the organism in Eukaryota, Metazoa, Chordata, Actinopteri, Cypriniformes, Cyprinidae. The transcript is spliced from 3 exons.